Molecule: ribosomal RNA, 761 nt
Filed under: uncultured bacterium
Lineage: Bacteria
Description: bacterial SSU rRNA
Rfam family: Bacterial small subunit ribosomal RNA
Source: RNAcentral
GAUGAACGCUAGCGGCAGGCUUAAUACAUGCAAGUCGAGGGGCAGCACGAAUAGCAAUAUUUGGUGGCGACCGGCAAACAGGUGCGGAACACGUACGCAACCUUCCCAAAACUGGUGAAUAGCCCUCCGAAAGGAGGAUUAAUACACCGUACCAUAAUGAAGAGGCAUCUUUUUGUUAUUAUAGGCAGCAAUGUCGGUUUUGGAUGGGCGUGCGCCUGAUUAGGUAGUUGGCGGGGUAACGGCCCACCAAGCCUCCGAUCAGUAACUGGUGUGAGAGCACGACCAGUCACACGGGCACUGAGACACGGGCCCGACUCCUACGGGAGGCAGCAGUAAGGAAUAUUGGUCAAUGGACGAAAGUCUGAACCAGCCAUGCCGCGUGAAGGAUGAAGGCCCUCUGGGUUGUAAACUUCUUUUAUCUGGGACGAAAAAAGGGGAUUCUUCCUCACUUGACGGUACCAGAGGAAUAAGCACCGGCUAACUCCGUGCCAGCAGCCGCGGUAAUACGGAGGGUGCAAGCGUUAUCCGGAUUUACUGGGUUUAAAGGGUGCGUAGGUGGGUAGGUAAGUCAGUGGUGAAAUCUUCGAGCUUAACUCGGAAACUGCCAUUGAUACUAUUUAUCUUGAAUACUUUGGAGGUAAGCGGAAUAUGUCAUGUAGCGGUGAAAUGCUUAGAUAUGACAUAGAACACCAAUUGCGAAGGCAGCUUACUACACAGUUAUUGACACUGAGGCACGAAAGCGUGGGGAUCAAACAGGAUUA